GAUGAACGCUGGCGGCGUGCCUAAUACAUGCAAGUCGAACGCAUUGAGAGAAGUGCUUGCACUUUUCAAUUUGAGUGGCGAACGGGUGAGUAACACGUGGGCAACCUACCUGAUAGCGGGGGAUAACGAGUGGAAACAUUCGCUAAUACCGCAUAACAAUAGAGAAGGCAUCUUCUUUAUUUAAAAGGCGCUUUCAAGCGUCACUACCAGAUGGGCCCGCGGUGCAUUAGUUAGUUGGUGGGGUGAAGGCCUACCAAGACGAUGAUGCACAGCCGAGUUGAGAGACUGAUCGGCAACAUUGGGAAAGAGACACGGCCCAAAUUCCUACGGGAGGCUGCAGUAGGGAAUCUUCCACAAUGGACGAAAGUCUGAUGGAGCAACACCGCGUGUGUGAUGAAGGCUUUAGGGUCGUAAAGCACUGUUGUAUGGGAAGAAAUGCUAGGCUAGGAAAUGAGCUUAGUUUGACGGUACCAUACCAGAAAGGGACGGCUAAAUACGUGCCAGCCGCCGCCGUAA
This 516-nucleotide ribosomal RNA is filed under the name uncultured bacterium. RNAcentral describes it as "partial 16S ribosomal RNA". It matches the Rfam family "Bacterial small subunit ribosomal RNA", at positions 28 to 523 of the family's 1533-position model. The record is from RNAcentral.